AGUGAACGCUGGCGGUAGGCCUAACACAUGCAAGUCGAACGGCAGCACAGUAAGAGCUUGCUCUUACGGGUGGCGAGUGGCGGACGGGUGAGGAAUACAUCGGAAUCUACUUUUUCGUGGGGGAUAACGUAGGGAAACUUACGCUAAUACCGCAUACGACCUACGGGUGAAAGCAGGGGAUCUUCGGACCUUGCGCGAUUGAAUGAGCCGAUGUCGGAUUAGCUAGUUGGCGGGGUAAAGGCCCACCAAGGCGACGAUCCGUAGCUGGUCUGAGAGGAUGAUCAGCCACACUGGAACUGAGACACGGUCCAGACUCCUACGGGAGGCAGCAGUGGGGAAUAUUGGACAAUGGGCGCAAGCCUGAUCCAGCCAUACCGCGGGGGUGAAGAAGGCCUUCGGGUUGUAAAGCCUUUUUGUUGGGAAAGAAAAGCAGCAGGUUAAUACCCCGCUGUUCUGACGGUACCCAAAGAAUAAACACCGGCUAACUUCGU
RNAcentral lists this ribosomal RNA (491 nucleotides) under uncultured bacterium. Its description in RNAcentral is "partial 16S ribosomal RNA". It matches the Rfam family "Bacterial small subunit ribosomal RNA", at positions 29 to 506 of the family's 1533-position model. The record is from RNAcentral.